CAAGAUCUUCCUGGUGUCCGAGUGCGCCCUGAUGCUGGCGCAGGGCACGGUGGGCGCCUACCUGAAUAAAUAUAUUCCAGCUAAGUGGACGUGGAUGGUUUUCUGCAUAAACUCUUAUUGUUCCUUGACUGAUGUCAUAACACUGGAGAUGCAUGCUCCUUAGAUGAAUAUCUAGGAUCCUGGAAUUCACAAGUGAAUGCAUUUUGUGUGCCAUUUCCCUAGAACUGUAAAUGACUCACCCCAAGGAGCUGCUGUCUAGAUGAGAAACAAAACCUCACACUAUUGCUGCUGCUGCUUCAUCAUGGGGAAAUGACUUCUGGGCUUAGGUGAUUAAGUCUCUUUCUACCACUUUACUACAGGAAGACAUGUCCUUGGCACAUCAGACAGAACACUGAAGUUAUCUUGCAAAUUACUUUAAUGGAAUUAA
RNAcentral lists this small RNA (427 nucleotides) under Pan troglodytes (chimpanzee). Its description in RNAcentral is "processed transcript". Lineage: Eukaryota; Metazoa; Chordata; Mammalia; Primates; Hominidae. The record is from RNAcentral.